UCUCCGUAGGUGAACCUGCGGAGGGAUCAUUACAGAGUUCAUGCCCUUCGGGGUAGAUCUCCCACCCUUGUGUAUUUAUACCUUUGUUGCUUUGGCAGGCCGCUUCGGCCACCGGCUUCGGCUGGUGCGUGCCUGCCAGAGGACCCCAAACUCUGAAUGUUAGUGUCGUCUGAGUACUAUAUAAUAGUUAAAACUUUCAACAACGGAUCUCUUGGUUCUGGCAUCGAUGAAGAACGCAGC
This 240-nucleotide unclassified non-coding RNA is filed under the name uncultured fungus. RNAcentral's name for it is "sequence contains ITS1, 5.8S rRNA gene". The stretch from base 192 to 240 matches the Rfam family "5.8S ribosomal RNA", at positions 1 to 49 of the family's 154-position model. The record is from RNAcentral. Lineage: Eukaryota; Fungi.